Molecule: long non-coding RNA, 406 nt
Filed under: Marmota monax (woodchuck)
Lineage: Eukaryota; Metazoa; Chordata; Mammalia; Rodentia; Sciuridae
Source: RNAcentral
AUCAAAAAAAAAAGUUACUCAUAUGGAAAAUAUAUGUAUGUAACAGGGUUCACUUGAUACUUUGACUAUCUCUUGUGGCUUUGAAACUUACAUGUUUUUUUUUUUUUUUCUUUUUCCCAAUCUUCUUUUCCCUAACCUUCUCCUUCCUGACCGCCUCUCUGAUCUUCUUUUCCCUGAUCUUCCCUGAUAUUCUUUUCCUUAAACUUUUCCUCCCCAAUCUUCUUGAUCUUCUUUUCCCUAAUCUUCCCCUUCCUGACCUCUUCCCUGAUCUUCUUUUCCCUGAUCUUCUCCUCCCUGUUCUCUCCUCCCUGAUCUCAUUUUCUCUGAAUCACCUCUAUAAAAGCCCCCUCUCAGGCUGGGGCUGGGGCUCAGCAGUAAAGCUCUCACCUAGUAUAUGCAAGGCCCU